ACAUCCGGGUCCUUGAGCUCCGCGCUCCACGCCCGGCUCUGCUGGUUCCAGAGUGGCUGGGUGUUGGUUCUUCCCCCUGUUACGGCGUCGGGAGAGUCAGUGGGUCGGCGGGUUUGAACUUCUUUUCCUAGAAGCUGUGCAUCACCAUAAUGAGGCUUGUAAUUCUUGAUAACUAUGACUUGGCUAGUGAAUGGGCAGCCAAAUACAUCUGUAAUCGCAUCAUUCAGUUCAGACCUGGACAGGACAGAUAUUUUACGCUGGGAUUACCAACAGGGAGUACACCUUUAGGAUGUUAUAAAAAACUAAUAGAAUAUCACAAGAAUGGAGAUCUUUCUUUUAAAUAUGUGAAGACCUUUAACAUGGAUGAAUAUGUAGGACUUCCCAGAAAUCAUCCUGAAAGCUACCAUUCUUACAUGUGGAAUAACUUUUUUAAGCAUAUUGAUAUAGAUCCUAAUAAUGCUCAUAUCCUCGAUGGGAAUGCUACAGAUUUACAAGCAGAAUGUGAAUCAUUUGAAAAGAAAAUAAAGGAAGCUGGAGGAAUUGAUCUUUUUGUUGGAGGGUUUGGUUAAUAAAAACACUAAGAACUGAGCCAAAUGGGAUCAAAAUAUCAGCUUUAUUAAAGGAAUUGGUCCAGAUGGUCAUAUUGCUUUCAAUGAGCCAGGAUCCAGUUUAGUAUCAAGGACAAGAUUAAAGACUCUGGCAAUGGACACUAUUUUGGCAAAUGCUAAAUAUUUUGAUGGAGAUUUAUCAAAAGUGCCAACUAUGGCUCUAACAGUUGGUGUGGGAACUGUGAUGGAUGCUAGAGAAGUAAUGAUCCUUAUAACAGGUGCACACAAAGCAUUUGCUCUCUACAAAGCAAUAGAAGAAGGAGUCAAUCACAUGUGGACUGUUUCAGCUUUCCAGCAGCAUCCCCGAACUAUUUUUGUAUGUGAUGAAGAUGCUACUUUAGAAUUAAGAGUUAAAACUGUGAAAUACUUUAAAGGUUUAAUGCAUGUGCACAAUAAACUUGUGGAUCCACUAUACAGUAUGAAAGAAGGAAAUUGAAGGAGACUGGAUCAAAAUUCUGCUUGAAUGAACAGUAUACUUUCAUAUUAUAGAUGAAUUUUCAGCUAUGCAAUAUGAUAAAAACUUGGGGAAUUUUUGAAUAUUGUCAUUUUUUUUGAAGUCUAAUAUCUAUAUGUUAAACAUUCCAUAUUUAGAAUAUCCAUUUUAUACUAGGGUUGAGAAGUACCUGGCUCUCACAACUGAUCAGCUGUUUGUUACAGAAGCCACAUAAAACAGCACAGAAAUGAAAUGUCUGCCUGUUUACAAAUUUCAAGUAAUUUUAAAGGUGAAGAUUCUCUACAAGUACCAUUCCUAUGACUCAAAUUGGCAUUAUUAGAUUCAAUUUUUUUAAAUACAGAAGACACUCCAAGCCUUUCAGGUAUCAAGCAACUGUCAUUGCAAGGCUUCUGGAAUGCUAUCUUUAUAUUUUCUCUUCAUCACACACAAGCUUUCUGCACGUGGUUGCCUUAGUCAUCUUCCUGCAGUAGCAUCUGGACAUCAAAAGUCCUGCUAUAAAUCGUUGAUAUAGAAAAUAUGAAGAUAUGGCUGUGCCUAACAAUACAGUUUACACCCUUUUGAAAAGUAUGUGUAAGUGCAUGUUUUUGUGCACCUUCUUCUAUAGCACUUUUUUACAAAUGUGCUCUUAUUUUUAUUUAAUGAUUUGGGUUCAUGCACCUCAUAUAAGUAUUUUGGCAAUUAUGAGCUUUAUACCUAGUAACACACUUAAGGAAGAUUUUUUGAAGUAAAUUUUCUGAUUAUUGUUAAACUUCAUAAAUGAUUAGCUUUAUUCCUUACAUAUAAUGUUUAAAAGGAUAAUAUGAUGAAGUAUAAUAUAAAAGGAAUUACUGUAAACUAGAUUGCCAUAACAACUUGCAUCAUUAAAUUGCAAAUAAAAAUAUAUUGUUUUCUAUCUUUUUUUUUCUUCUUAGGGCCACACCCAUGGCAUACAGAGGUUCCCAGGCUAGGGGUUGAACGGGAGCUACAGCUGCCAGCCCACACCACAGCCACAGCAAGGCCAGAUCCGAGCUGUGUCUGCGACCUACAACCACAGCUCAGGGCAAAGCCUUAUCCUUAACCCACUGAGCAAGGCCAGGGAUUGAACCUGCAACCUCAUGGUUCCUAGUCAGAUUUGUUUCCACUGAGCCACAACGGGAACUCCCUUGUUUUCUAUCUUUAACUCAAAUAAAGCUUAUAAUAAGCAAAAGUUACUAAAUUUUAUUUCUAGAAGUGAAAGUGAACACAUGCAUCUGAAAGAUUCUAACAGUUAAUAGUAGCUAUGAGCCUGCCUUUACUUUUUAUUUGCUGUCAUCAUCCAAUUAGAAGACUUAAGUUAAAAGACAAUGUCUCUGCCUAUUAUUUCUUAGUUCUGCUCCUUGGGGAGUAAAAAAAAAAAAUGUUCCUUUUCCUCUGUAUCUUUUGUUUCUUUUAAGUCCAACUAGUAGAAGCAUCACUUAUAUACCUGCUUAACUGCUUAUGUAAUUGAAAUGUGUUUGCAGUUACAUUCCUUAAAAUACUUAAAUAGCAACCAAAUUUAAAAAAUAAUAAAAAUAAGUAAAAGUAAUAGGAUAAAAUAUACUGCUUUAAUUCUAGAUAAUAAAGUUCUAAGAGCCUUAAGUAUUAUAAAUGGUUUUUGAAUAACCAGUGAAAUCAGUAUCAUCUCCCAGUCUUAUAACUGAUAAUAAAGUAUUGAUUAUUGCAGACUACAUUAGAAGGUCACAGUGUCAGUGAAAAAGCUAAACUGUUUUGGUGCACGGUUCAGCUGUUAUUUCUAUGGUUUAAAUGUGCUAGCUGAAACAAAGUCUGAAAGAUCUCGUUUUCUUCACUGUGGAGUCCAUGUUCUCUAGGUCCACACCAAAAUGCUUUCUGGCCACUCUGGCACGCUAACUCAGGAACUAAGCUGUCCUGUUAAGCAAAGAAACAAGCUUACUGAAGAUAUCUCCACAAAAGGAAAGAAAGCACUGUAGCAGAAAGAAACCACUGUUUGAAUCCUACCUGUCAACAGUAGUAAAUUCAAUAAAUGGUGGCUAUUCUAAUAGUUUACAUUAUCUUAAUGUACCCCCAAAUCUUCAUAAUAUAAGGUCCUCUGGGGGACACACAACUUGAAAUCAUGUUCAGAGAGUGGCCAGGGGAGAGAACUUAGGAGUAUGCUGGGAAAAAAAAAAAAAAAA
Sus scrofa (pig) is the source of this 3212-nucleotide RNA transcript. It is a transcript of the gene named glucosamine-6-phosphate deaminase 2, with no coding region annotated. Lineage: Eukaryota; Metazoa; Chordata; Mammalia; Artiodactyla; Suidae. The record is from RefSeq and is a predicted model, not a curated record.